This is a non-coding RNA of Chiloscyllium plagiosum (whitespotted bambooshark), 207 nucleotides long. Lineage: Eukaryota; Metazoa; Chordata; Chondrichthyes; Orectolobiformes; Hemiscylliidae. The record is from RefSeq and is a predicted model, not a curated record.
AACGGCCAUACCCCGUCUUCUGUGUAUGUGCAAGCAGUUUUUGAAUCUUCCUCACAAUAUCUCUCGUUGAAAUUAUUCCAGUUUGAAAGCCAGACCAUUCUGUACAAAUGCAUGAGGAUAACAACAGAAUGCAGGAUACGAUGUUCCACCUGCUGAGAUGGUGCAGAGAGAGAUCAACACUAACAUUAAAGAGGUCAUUAGUCAAGA